RNAcentral lists this ribosomal RNA (454 nucleotides) under uncultured bacterium. RNAcentral's name for it is "partial 16S ribosomal RNA". It matches the Rfam family "Bacterial small subunit ribosomal RNA", at positions 28 to 507 of the family's 1533-position model. The record is from RNAcentral.
GAUGAACGCUGACAGAAUGCUUAACACAUGCAAGUCAACUUGAACUUCGGUUUGGGUGGCGGACGGGUGAGUAACGCGUAAAGAACUUGCCUCACAGCUAGGGACAACAUUUGGAAACGAAUGCUAAUACCUGAUAUUAUGAUUAUAUGGCAUCGUAUAAUUAUGAAAGCUAUAUGCGCUGUGAGAGAGCUUUGCGUCCCAUUAGCUAGUUGGAGCGGUAACAGCUCACCAAGGCGAUGAUGGGUAGCCGGCCAGAGAGGGUGAUCGGCCACAAGGGGACUGAGACACGGCCCUUACUCCUCCGGGAGGCAACAGUGGGGAAUCUUGGACAAUGGACCGAGAGUCUGAUCCAGCAAUUCUGUGUGCAAGAUGAAGUUUUUCGGAAUGUAAAGUGCUUUCAGUUGGGAAGAACAAAAUGACGGUACCAACAGAAGAAGUGACGGCUAAAUACGUG